GAUGAAGAACGUAGCGAAAUGCGAUAAGUAAUGUGAAUUGCAGAAUUCAGUGAAUCAUCGAAUCUUUGAACGCACAUUGCGCCCGCCAGUAUUCUGGCGGGCAUACCUGUUCGAGCGUCAUUUCAACCAUCAAGCCCCAGGCUUGUGUUGGGGACCUGCGGCUGCCGCAGGCCCUGAAAACCAGUGGCGGGCUCGCUGUCACACCGGGCGUAGUAGAUUUUAUCUCGCUCUGGGCGUGCUGCGGGUUCCGGCCGUUAAAAAACCCUUUUAACCCAAGGUUGACCUCGGAUCAGGUAGGAAUACCCGCUGAACUUAAGCAUAUCAAUAAGCGGAGGA
Molecule: unclassified non-coding RNA, 336 nt
Filed under: soil metagenome
Description: partial contains 5.8S ribosomal RNA, internal transcribed spacer 2, and large subunit ribosomal RNA
Rfam family: 5.8S ribosomal RNA (bases 1-120)
Source: RNAcentral